UACGUAGGGGGCAAGCGUUAUCCGGAUUUACUGGGUGUAAAGGGAGCGCAGACGGCAGUGCAAGUCUGGAGUGAAAGCCCGGGGCCCAACCCCGGGACUGCUCUGGAAACUGUACGGCUGGAGUACGGGAGGGGCAGGCGGAAUUCCUAGUGUAGCGGUGAAAUGCGUAGAUAUAUGGAAGAACACCAGUGGCGAAAGCGACGAUCUGGCCUGCAACUGACGCUCAGUCCCGAAAGCGUGGGGAGCAAAUAGG
This 253-nucleotide ribosomal RNA is filed under the name uncultured bacterium. Its description in RNAcentral is "partial 16S ribosomal RNA". It matches the Rfam family "Bacterial small subunit ribosomal RNA", at positions 524 to 776 of the family's 1533-position model. The record is from RNAcentral.